Molecule: ribosomal RNA, 129 nt
Filed under: Notechis scutatus (mainland tiger snake)
Lineage: Eukaryota; Metazoa; Chordata; Lepidosauria; Squamata; Elapidae
Source: RNAcentral
UCACAUUCCUAUAUUACAUUUGCUUAUCACCUUGCUGGUUCUGUCUGGACUUGGAAGUGAAGAAUGGUUAGGCCUAAUUAGUACCUAGGUGGGAGACCACAUGUCAAAAAUAUCCUGUUAGAAUGCAAC